Molecule: long non-coding RNA, 383 nt
Filed under: Olea europaea subsp. europaea
Lineage: Eukaryota; Viridiplantae; Streptophyta; Magnoliopsida; Lamiales; Oleaceae
Source: RNAcentral
CUCAACUUUUGCGCGUGUAUGUUGAUAAUUCCUAGGCAGCCAUCCACUUGUAUGUGUGUGUCUAAUUCCCAGUUGGCGUGUAUGUAUAUAAUUCCGGCCAAAACUCUCCUCCUUCCCAAUUGCCGUUUAUUGAUACGUGUGUAUAUAUAUAAAAAAAUCAGCCCACUUCUUCCCUGAAUUCCUUCUGCCGGCCACCAAUUUGUAUGUAUAUAAAAUCUGAUUUAGCCACACCUUUAUGUAUCUGAAUUCCUCCUUUUUGUGCUUUUUGUCUAUUUUUUUUCCAGCGAACUUUCUGCCUUUUUCUCUCCCAUGGUUGACGUGUGAUGUGUAUCUUCCUUCCACCAGUUGGCUGCUCGUACAUUAAAGGUAGCCGUCCAACUUCC